This 448-nucleotide ribosomal RNA is filed under the name uncultured bacterium. RNAcentral describes it as "bacterial SSU rRNA". It matches the Rfam family "Bacterial small subunit ribosomal RNA", at positions 329 to 794 of the family's 1533-position model. The record is from RNAcentral.
GCCCAGACUCCUACGGGAGGCAGCAGUGGGGAAUAUUGCACAAUGGGGGAAACCCUGAUGCAGCGACGCCGCGUGAAGGAAGAAGUAUUUCGGUAUGUAAACUUCUCUCAGCAGGGAAGAAAAUGACGGUACCUGACUAAGAAGCCCCGGCUAACUACGUGCCAGCAGCCGCGGUAAUACGUAGGGGGCGAGCGUUAUCCGGAUUCACUGGGUGUAAAGGGAGCGUAGACGGCCAUGCAAGCCAGGGGUGAAAGCCCGGGGCCCAACCCCGGGACUGCCCUUGGAACUGCAUGGCUGGAGUGCGGGAGGGGGAGGCGGAAUUCCUGGUGUAGCGGUGAAAUGCGUAGAUAUCAGGAGGAACACCGGCGGCGAAGGCGGCCUGCUGGACCGCGACUGACGUUGAGGCUCGAAAGCGUGGGGAGCGAACAGGAUUAGAUACCCGAGUAUA